Molecule: ribosomal RNA, 625 nt
Filed under: uncultured bacterium
Lineage: Bacteria
Description: bacterial SSU rRNA
Rfam family: Bacterial small subunit ribosomal RNA
Source: RNAcentral
GAACACCAGUGGCGAAGGCGACUUACUGGGCCGUAACUGACGUUGAUGCGCGAAAGCGUGGGGAGCGAACAGGAUUAGAUACCCUGGUAGUCCACGCCGUAAACGAUGAGUGCUAGGUGUAGCGGGUAUCGACCCCUGCUGUGCCGGAGUUAACACAAUAAGCACUCCGCCUGGGGAGUACGGCCGCAAGGUUGAAACUCAAAGGAAUUGACGGGGGCCCGCACAAGCAGCGGAGCAUGUGGUUUAAUUCGAAGCAACGCGAAGAACCUUACCAGGUCUUGACAUCGAGGCAAAGCCGUAGAGAUACGGUGUUCAGCAAUGAGGCCGAAGACAGGUGGUGCAUGGUUGUCGUCGGCUCGUGUCGUGAGAUGUUGGGUUAAGUCUCGCAACGAGCGCAACCCUUAUUGUCAGUUACUAACGGGUAAAGCUGAGGACUCUGACGAGACUGCCGGGGACAACUCGGAGGAAGGUGGGGACGACGUCAAAUCAUCAUGCCCCUUAUGACCUGGGCUACACACGUGCUACAAUGGUGGUUACAGAGAGGAGCGAGCCCGCGAGGGGGAGCGGAUCUCAAAAAAGCCAUCUCAGUUCGGAUUGUGGGCUGCAACCCGCCCACAUGAAGUUG